CAAUAUUAAAAGAGGAAUGAUAGUACCCAAAAGCACCAGAUGAUUUAGAAUAAUAUAUAUUACUUAGACGUGACGACCCAUAAUCCACUGAUGUUCCACGAAUGUUAACUCGCACAGAAUAACCCCGACCACUCGUACCAAAACAAUAACCACCACAACCCAGUCUAAGAUAACGAUAGAACACACAUAAUAACUAAGAAGCAGGCUUCACCGCCUCUGCAACAGAACAUCAACUCGUUUAGUCAACUUCCUCGAUCUUGGGGCCAGCACCGCCGGAAGCAGCCGGGGUGUCAUCGUCCAUGCCGCCCUCCAUGUCGGCACCAGCACCCUGGUACAUCUUGGCGAUGAUGGGGUUGCACAGAGCCUCCAGCUCCU
This 375-nucleotide long non-coding RNA is filed under the name Triticum aestivum (bread wheat). RNAcentral describes it as "long non-coding RNA (TAES_LNC012487)". The record is from RNAcentral. Lineage: Eukaryota; Viridiplantae; Streptophyta; Magnoliopsida; Poales; Poaceae.